UUGUAUAAGUGCAUCCUUUUUACUUAGAUUUUAUUAAACACCCACUAACCCAAUUCUCUCCUUCUAAUGCUCUUUGGUGUGUCUUUUGCAGUGUGGACAUCUGGUCGCUGGGGAUAACCGCCAUCAAAAUGGCCGAGGGAAAAGCACGUAAGUGAAUCACAACAAUUGUGGCUACUUUAUUUUAUACAUUGAGCAGCAGAGGUUCUAUAUCAGAAUGGGAGGAAUUUGGGGUGAUUUGCUAUUUCUAGCAAAAAAGAACUUUUGCUAUAGAUUAAAUAAAUAACUUCUAGACAUGUUUGAUGAGCCUGAUAUAUAUGUUUUUCACUUUUAGCAUACAUAGGGCAAUACCCAGUGGAGGACCUGAUAAUAGAAGCCCGACCACCGAAGCUUCAAUCAAACACCUGGACUGAAGGGAGUUGCUCUCUCAAAGCUGCGGCGUGCUUAUGACUUCUUCACACAGACAUCGGCAGAACAAGAAGCAGCUCUGCAAAUGGCCCUGGAGGGCUUCUCCUGUUAUUGAUCUUGUGGCCAAUAACAUCAACAGCCCAAAAUGAGUUUCCUGAAUCACAGCCGGGGAAAAAGAAUCAUCCACAGGAUCCAGUGGCAUCUGCAGCUCCACCAGCAACAUCUCCUUUCAAGCUGAUGCAGUUUAGUAAGUGGUAACUUCAAGAUUCCUGCAACUACACCAGCAGAGACUUUACCUCUUUCUGUUGCAACAUGAUCUUAUUCUUUUCAGACUACCACAUCUCCACCAGUGG
Xenopus laevis (African clawed frog) is the source of this 758-nucleotide long non-coding RNA. RefSeq lists it as uncharacterized. Lineage: Eukaryota; Metazoa; Chordata; Amphibia; Anura; Pipidae. The record is from RefSeq and is a predicted model, not a curated record. The transcript has 3 exons.